Molecule: transfer RNA, 67 nt
Filed under: Ochotona himalayana (Himalayan pika)
Lineage: Eukaryota; Metazoa; Chordata; Mammalia; Lagomorpha; Ochotonidae
Description: tRNA-Trp
Source: RNAcentral
AGAAGUUUAGGUUAAUUAGACCGAGAGCCUUCAAAGCCCUAAGCAAGUAGCACAUACUUAACUUCUG